UCCGUAGGCGGAUAAUUAAGUCAGAGGUGAAAUCCCACAGCUCAACUGUGGAACUGCCUUUGAUACUGGUUAUCUUGAGUUUUAGUGAAGUAGAUAGAAUAUGUAGUGUAGCGGUGAAAUGCUUAGAUAUUACAUAGAAUACCGAUUGCGAAGGCAGUCUACUAACUAAUAACUGACGCUAAUGGACGAAAGCGUGGGGAGCGAACAGGAUUAGAUACCCUGGUAGUCC
RNAcentral lists this ribosomal RNA (229 nucleotides) under uncultured bacterium. RNAcentral's name for it is "partial 16S ribosomal RNA". It matches the Rfam family "Bacterial small subunit ribosomal RNA", at positions 568 to 796 of the family's 1533-position model. The record is from RNAcentral.